AUGAACGCUGGCGGCGUGCCUCAUACAUGCAAGUCGAGCGAACAGACGAGGAGCUUGCUCCUCUGACGUUAGCGGCGGACGGGUGAGUAACACGUGGAUAACCUACCUAUAAGACUGGGAUAACUUCGGGAAACCGGAGCUAAUACCGGAUAAUAUAUUGAACCGCAUGGUUCAAUAGUGAAAGACGGUUUUGCUGUCACUUAUAGAUGGAUCCGCGCCGCAUUAGCUAGUUGGUAAGGUAACGGCUUACCAAGGCAACGAUGCGUAGCCGACCUGAGAGGGUGAUCGGCCACACUGGAACUGAGACACGGUCCAGACUCCUACGGGAGGCAGCAGUAGGGAAUCUUCCGCAAUGGGCGAAAGCCUGACGGAGCAACGCCGCGUGAGUGAUGAAGGUCUUCGGAUCGUAAAACUCUGUUAUUAGGGAAGAACAAAUGUGUAAGUAACUAUGCACGUCUUGACGGUACCCAAUCAGAAAGCCACGGCUAACUACGUG
This 496-nucleotide ribosomal RNA is filed under the name uncultured bacterium. Its description in RNAcentral is "partial 16S ribosomal RNA". It matches the Rfam family "Bacterial small subunit ribosomal RNA", at positions 29 to 507 of the family's 1533-position model. The record is from RNAcentral.